CAAACCAACCCGACAUUAUAUAUGUAAUUUUAAAAUUUUAUUUUAUACAUAAAAAUGUUUAUUAAUAUAUAAUUUAUAUAUUUUUCUUAAUCUUUCUCACAAUUUUAUGUUUAAUAUUAGUGGACUUUGGGCUACAUUGUUGACUUGAGCCCACUUGUUAUUUUUAGGAAUAAACAAAAGCCCAAAUAAAUUAUACAAUUCAACUAGCCCUAUAUAAUAUUCUCUAUCUCAUUUAACAAAGGUCAUUAGGUCAG
This 254-nucleotide long non-coding RNA is filed under the name Solanum tuberosum (potato). Its description in RNAcentral is "long non-coding RNA (STUB_LNC009631)". The record is from RNAcentral. Lineage: Eukaryota; Viridiplantae; Streptophyta; Magnoliopsida; Solanales; Solanaceae.